GAAAAUGAAGAAUUCCUUAAGUUCUCACUUGAAAAUUUGAUUUGUAAGGGAACUGGAAGUUUUCCUGCUGAGUGCUCCAUGUGUAAGAGAGUUGACCUUCUGUUUUCUGAAGUUACUUUAAGGAUCAUGUUUCAGAAGGAAAACAAGCCUGGCAUAGAAACCACUUCAGCGCCUGUUUAUCCAGCACGCAGGGUGAGGACACUAUUAGGCGUGAAAAAACAAUUUCAUGGGUAUUAGGCUAUAGUUCCAGGACUCACCUUCAAGGACUGAGGGUCUUAGGCUGCUGCUAUGAGGAUGUCAAUGCCAGUGUCCCUGAGGAAGAGGCCAGAUUGAAUAUUGCUGAAUUUGUUUUCUGAAUAAAUAUUUAGAAACAGCCA
Long non-coding RNA from Homo sapiens (human), 377 nucleotides. RefSeq lists it as uncharacterized. Lineage: Eukaryota; Metazoa; Chordata; Mammalia; Primates; Hominidae. The record is from RefSeq and is a predicted model, not a curated record. The transcript has 2 exons.